This is a long non-coding RNA of Tribolium madens (black flour beetle), 244 nucleotides long. RefSeq lists it as uncharacterized. The transcript is spliced from 2 exons. The record is from RefSeq and is a predicted model, not a curated record. Lineage: Eukaryota; Metazoa; Arthropoda; Insecta; Coleoptera; Tenebrionidae.
CGCUUUAUUCAGAAUACUAGCUUUAGUGUUACUCUUUGUGUGUUUUUCUUUGGCGCAAGAAUAUGUGACUCAGAUUAAAACCUAUGUGUCCGAAAGUGAGGAUGUUGUAGGUGGUGGAAUUAUGCAAGAGGAACAAGAAAGCAAAAAAUGGAUUUAUAAAAUUGGAACACAAAAAAAAUAAAAAUUCUAAAAAUGUAAAACUUAAUAAUUGGCUUCAAUUCUACAAGAAAGUAGCAAACUGCAA